GGCCUGGUGGUAGUGGUUACAUAUCCCUACUGUCUAUAAUAUUAAUAUCCAUAUGAAGGCUUCUGAGGAAGUUCCCUGUUCGAAUCAGGGCCAGGCCA
Mycena latifolia is the source of this 98-nucleotide non-coding RNA. The record is from the annotation of a GenBank genome assembly. NCBI's taxonomy places the organism in Eukaryota, Fungi, Basidiomycota, Agaricomycetes, Agaricales, Mycenaceae.